RNAcentral lists this transfer RNA (65 nucleotides) under Allocarsidara bakeri. RNAcentral describes it as "tRNA-Asn". Lineage: Eukaryota; Metazoa; Arthropoda; Insecta; Hemiptera; Carsidaridae. The record is from RNAcentral.
AUGAAAAGAAGUCAAAAAGAGACAAAUUAUUGUUAAUAAUUUAAGUGAAUAACUAUUCCUUUUCA